UACGAAGGGGGCUAGCGUUGCUCGGAAUCACUGGGCGUAAAGCGCACGUAGGCGGCUUCUUAAGUCAGGGGUGAAAUCCUGGAGCUCAACUCCAGAACUGCCUUUGAUACUGAGGAGCUCGAGUCCGGAAGAGGUGAGUGGAACUGCGAGUGUAGAGGUGAAAUUCGUAGAUAUUCGCAAGAACACCAGUGGCGAAGGCGGCUCACUGGUCCGGUACUGACGCUGAGGAGCGAAAGCGUGGGGAGCGAACAGG
This 253-nucleotide ribosomal RNA is filed under the name uncultured bacterium. RNAcentral's name for it is "partial 16S ribosomal RNA". It matches the Rfam family "Bacterial small subunit ribosomal RNA", at positions 524 to 776 of the family's 1533-position model. The record is from RNAcentral.